Molecule: ribosomal RNA, 253 nt
Filed under: uncultured bacterium
Lineage: Bacteria
Description: partial 16S ribosomal RNA
Rfam family: Bacterial small subunit ribosomal RNA
Source: RNAcentral
UACGGAGGGUGCGAGCGUUGUCCGGAAUCAUUGGGCGUAAAGGGUUCGUAGGCGGUGUGGCAAGUCGGGAGUGAAAUCCCUGGGCUUAACCCAGGGGCUGCUUCCGAAACUGCUGUGCUUGAGUGUGGGAGAGGCGCGUGGAAUUGCAGGUGUAGCGGUGAAAUGCGUAGAUAUCUGCAGGAACACCCGUGGCGAAAGCGGCGCGCUGGACCACUACUGACGCUGAGGAACGAAAGCUAGGGGAGCAAACAGG